AUGCUGUAUGUGAGAAUUGGAGGGAACUAAUUAAGCUGUUAAUAAAAGCCAUAUAUAUGCUUAUUUAGUUUCCUCCAAUAUCUCAUAUCCAGUCU
This is a microRNA precursor of Corchorus capsularis, 95 nucleotides long. It matches the Rfam family "MIR2275 microRNA precursor family". The record is from Rfam. Lineage: Eukaryota; Viridiplantae; Streptophyta; Magnoliopsida; Malvales; Malvaceae.